GAGACACACUUCUGGGGCAAGACUUGCUUCAGUAGGGCUUUGUGCUCACUGAGUCUCCCCCCUGAGUGUGUUCCU
Molecule: microRNA precursor, 75 nt
Filed under: Myotis lucifugus (little brown bat)
Lineage: Eukaryota; Metazoa; Chordata; Mammalia; Chiroptera; Vespertilionidae
Description: mir-9229 microRNA precursor family
Rfam family: mir-9229 microRNA precursor family
Source: Rfam by way of RNAcentral